UUCCGGUUGAUCCUGCCGGACCUGACUGCUAUCGGAUUGAUACUAAGCCAUGCGAGUCAUUGUAGCAAUACAAGGCAGACGGCUCAGUAACGCGUAGUCAACCUAACCUAUGGACGGGAAUAACCUCGGGAAACUGAGAAUAAUGCCCGAUAGAACACUAUAUCUGGAAUGGUUUGUGUUCCAAAGGAUUUAUCGCCGUAGGAUGGGACUGCGGCCUAUCAGUUUGUUGGUGAGGUAAUGGCCCACCAAGACUAUUACAGGUACGGGCUCUGAGAGGAGUAGCCCGGAGAUGGGUACUGAGACACGGACCCAGGCCCUAUGGGGCGCAGCAGGCGAGAAAACUUUGCAAUGUGCGAAAGCACGACAAGGUUAAUCCGAGUGGUUUCUGCUAAAGGAACCUUUUGUCGGUCCUAGAAACACCGAUGAAUAAGGGGUGGGCAAGUUCUGGUGUCAGCCGCCGCGGUAAAACCAGCACCUCAAGUGGUCAGGAUGAUUAUUGGGCCUAAAGCAUCCGUAGCCUGCUUUGUUAGUUUUCGGUUAAAUCUAUACGCUCAACGUAUAGGCUGCCGGGAAUACUGCAAAGCUAGGGAGUGGGAGAGGUAGACGGUACUCGGUAGGAAGGGGUAAAAUCCUUUGAUCUAUUGAUGACCACCUGUGGCGAAGGCGGUCUACCAGAACACGUCCGACGGUGAGGGAUGAAAGCUGGGGGAGCAAACCGGAUUAGAUACCCGGGUAGUCCCAGCCGUAAACCAUGCAAACUCAGUGAUGCAUUGGCUUGUGGCCAAUGCAGUGCUGCAGGGAAGCCGUUAAGUUUGCCGCCUGGGAAGUACGUACGCAAGUAUGAAACUUAAAGGAAUUGGCGGGGGAGCACCACAAGGGGUGAAGCCUGCGGUUCAAUUGGAGUCAACGCCGGG
Molecule: ribosomal RNA, 914 nt
Filed under: uncultured archaeon
Lineage: Archaea
Description: bacterial SSU rRNA
Rfam family: Archaeal small subunit ribosomal RNA
Source: RNAcentral